RNAcentral lists this ribosomal RNA (470 nucleotides) under uncultured bacterium. RNAcentral describes it as "bacterial SSU rRNA". It matches the Rfam family "Bacterial small subunit ribosomal RNA", at positions 43 to 524 of the family's 1533-position model. The record is from RNAcentral.
CAGGCCUAACACAUGCAAGUCGAACGGUGAUGCAGGAGCUUGCUUCUGCGGAUCAGUGGCGAACGGGUGAGUAACACGUGAGUAAUCUGCCCCUGACUCUGGGAUAAGCGCUGGAAACGGCGUCUAAUACCGGAUACGACCAUCGAAGGCAUCUUCUGGUGGUGGAAAGAAUUUCGGUCUGGGAUGAACUCGCGGCCUAUCAGCUUGUUGGUGAGGUAAUGGCUCACCAAGGCGACGACGGGUAGCCGGCCUGAGAGGGUGACCGGCCACACUGGGACUGAGACACGGCCCAGACUCCUACGGGAGGCAGCAGUGGGGAAUAUUGCACAAUGGGCGCAAGCCUGAUGCAGCAACGCCGCGUGAGGGAUGACGGCCUUCGGGUUGUAAACCUCUUUUGUCAGGGAAGAAGCGAAAGUGACGGUACCUGGAGAAAAAGCACCGGCUAACUACGUGCCAGCAGCCGCGGUAAU